Molecule: ribosomal RNA, 499 nt
Filed under: uncultured Glomeromycotina
Lineage: Eukaryota; Fungi; Glomeromycota
Description: partial small subunit ribosomal RNA
Rfam family: Eukaryotic small subunit ribosomal RNA
Source: RNAcentral
CCAAUAGCGUAUAUUAAAGUUGUUGCAGUUAAAAAGCUCGUAGUUGAAUUUCGGGAUCAAUAUGUCGGUCGUGCCUCGGUACGUACUGGCAUCGUUGGUUUCUCCCUUCUGAAGAACCAUGAUGUCAUUCAUUUGGUGUCGUGGGGAAUCAGGACUGUUACUUUGAAAAAAUUAGAGUGUUUAAAGCAGGCUCACGCUUGAAUACAUUAGCAUGGAAUAAUGAAAUAGGACGUUUGAUUCUAUUUUGUUGGUUUCUAGAAUCGACGUAAUGAUUAAUAGGGAUAGUUGGGGGCAUUAGUAUUCAAUUGUCAGAGGUGAAAUUCUUGGAUUUAUUGAAGACUAACUACUGCGAAAGCAUUUGCCAAGGAUGUUUUCAUUAAUCAAGAACGAAAGUUAGGGGAUCGAAGACGAUCAGAUACCGUCGUAGUCUUAACCAUAAACUAUGCCGACUAGGGAUCGGAUGAUGUUAAUUUUUUAAUGACUCAUUCGGCGCCUUACG